RNAcentral lists this ribosomal RNA (252 nucleotides) under uncultured bacterium. RNAcentral describes it as "partial 16S ribosomal RNA". It matches the Rfam family "Bacterial small subunit ribosomal RNA", at positions 524 to 776 of the family's 1533-position model. The record is from RNAcentral.
GACGUAGGUGGCGAGCGUUGUUCGGAAUCACUGGGCAUAAAGCGCGCGUAGGCGGCCAAGUCAGUCAGGUGUGAAAGCCCUCGGCUCAACCGAGGAACUGCGCCUGAUACUGCUUGGCUUGAGGUCCGGAGGGGAGAGUGGAAUUCCCGGUGGAGCGGUGAAUGCGUAGAGAUCGGGAAGAACGCCGGCGGCGAAAGCGACUCUCUGGUCGGAAUCUGACGCUGAGGCGCGAAAGCUAGGGGAGCAAACGGG